AGUGAACGCUGGCGGUGUGCUUAACACAUGCAAGUCGAACGAAGAACGGACUAAAGUUUACUUUAGUUGUCAGCUAAGUGGCGCGACGGGUGAGUAAUCUAUAGCUAACCUACCCUAAAGGAGGGGGAUAAUUAAUAGGUAAACGUUUUGUAACUACCCUAUACCUCUUAUCUACACAAGUAUAUAAGAAGUAAAACUUUAGUGUCUUUAGGAGUGGGGCUGUAUUGUAUCAGCUAGUUGGUGGUGUAAUGGACCACCAAGGCUAUGACGCAUAAC
Molecule: ribosomal RNA, 276 nt
Filed under: uncultured bacterium
Lineage: Bacteria
Description: partial 16S ribosomal RNA
Rfam family: Bacterial small subunit ribosomal RNA
Source: RNAcentral